This is a long non-coding RNA of Xenia sp. Carnegie-2017, 996 nucleotides long. RefSeq lists it as uncharacterized. Lineage: Eukaryota; Metazoa; Cnidaria; Anthozoa; Malacalcyonacea; Xeniidae. The transcript is spliced from 2 exons. The record is from RefSeq and is a predicted model, not a curated record.
AUUUCCGGUUCAAAGUCAACUCGUUACACUAACUCGUUUUUACACUAACUCGUUUUAACACUCUACUCGUUUUAACAGCUUGCAAACGUACUGCCGUAGACGUUCGCUUUCACAGAGCAAGUGGUUCUUAUUAUCUGAGACCUAUUUCAAUUUUCAAAGCGUGCAAACGCGACUUUCAACUUGAUUUGUACAUUUUUACCUUCGUGGCUAACUUGGAUUCAGUAAAAGAGCAUAAACAUGGGUUGCAAGCUUUGCAAGAAAUUCUACAACAACAGAUGGUUGAAACAUGGGGAGCGUGACGUAAGCAAUGGUGAACAAAUUGUUCAAGGUUGUCUUGGUGAAGUGACGGCAGGAAUAGAAAAUUGUAGGAGGCGUCGUCCCAUACAAGAGACUCUUAUUGAGGAAUUCAAUUAUUUACCUCAUGUGUUGGAUUUGAUAAGAGAAUAUGGAUAUUCCAUGGAGCUGAAUGAUUUUGUGUUGAAUGUUCAGUCAACACAAGAAGAAGUUUAAAUCAGAAUGUAUUAGUUGCCAACUUUCAGGUCCGUUUUCCAAACGUCGCAUUUUACAUGAGCCGAAUGCAUUUAAAACAAAAGAGAACGAGGAAUUUCGUCUCAAUUUUUUUUGUUUUGAAUGCAUUCGGCGCAUGUAAAAUGUGCCUUGUGAAACGGGCCUUAGUAUAGAAAUAAGCAUUCAUUAUAUAUUACCGUAAAAUAACCAUUCACUAUAUUACUGUAAAAAUAACCAUUCACUGUAUAAUAGUGUAAAUGCGAACACUUGAAAACGCAUCUUGUUUCAAAAACGGAAACUUUCAAGGACAUAUUUGUUUAUAUCUUGUGUAGCUAAUUGACAAUGAAUUAAUGUAACCAUUAUUAGUAACCUUACUUUGAACUUUUGUAUGUAAAAAUGUAUUUAUUUUUUUUAUCUAUGUCAUUAUUAACUUUGAAUGAAAUGAUAAUUUUUGGUGUAAUCAGUUUCAACAGUGUUUUUAACAUCAAA